RNAcentral lists this unclassified non-coding RNA (271 nucleotides) under Mycoplasma sphenisci. RNAcentral's name for it is "16S-23S ribosomal RNA intergenic spacer". Lineage: Bacteria; Bacillati; Mycoplasmatota; Mollicutes; Mycoplasmatales; Mycoplasmataceae. The record is from RNAcentral.
CUACGGAGUACAUACUUAACGUUUUUUAAUGACCUAUUAACUUAUAUAUCUGUUAUGUUGCUUUUUUAUGGUCGAAGCUUGUAUCUAGUUUUGAGAGUACAACUCUCAUUGUUCUUUGAAAACUGAAUAGUAGUAAUUUAAGAAUAUUACAACGACAUCAAAAAUAGAAUUAAUUAAAUGGUUAAUUUGUUUUGAUUCAUCGAGUAAUCAUAGAUAUAUGAUUCAUUGAAAUGUCUUAAAAUACACAUCAUAAUAAAUCAAUAGGAAAAUA